ACACGUAGGCACCAAGCGUUGUCCGGAUUUAUUGGGCGUAAAGAGCUCGUAGGCGGUUCAGUAAGUCGGGUGUGAAAACUCUGGGCUCAACCCAGAGACGCCACCCGAUACUGCUGUGACUUGAGUACGGUAGGGGAGUGGGGAAUUCCUGGUGUAGCGGUGAAAUGCGCAGAUAUCAGGAGGAACACCAGUGGCGAAGGCGCCACUCUGGGCCGUAACUGACGCUGAGGAGCGAAAGCGUGGGUAGCAAACAG
RNAcentral lists this ribosomal RNA (254 nucleotides) under uncultured prokaryote. RNAcentral's name for it is "partial 16S ribosomal RNA". It matches the Rfam family "Bacterial small subunit ribosomal RNA", at positions 523 to 775 of the family's 1533-position model. The record is from RNAcentral.